GACGAACGCUGGCGGCGUGCUUAACACAUGCAAGUCGAACGGAAAGGCCCUGCUUUUGUGGGGUGCUCGAGUGGCGAACAGGUGAGUAACACGUGAGUAACCUGCCCUUGACUUUGGGAUAACUUCAGGAAACUGGGGCUCAUACCGGAUAUGAGCUCCUGCUGCAUGGUGGGGGUUGGAAAAUUUCGGCGUUUGGGGAUGGACUGGUGGUUUAUCAGCUUGUUGGUGGGGUAGUGGCUUACAAAGGCUUUGAGGGGUAGCCGGCCUGCGGGGGUGACCGGCCACAUUGGGACUGAGAUACGGCCCAGACUCCUACGGGAGGCAGCAGUGGGGAAUAGUGCACGAUGGGCGGAGGCCUGAUGCAGCAACGCCGCGUGCGGGAUGACGGCCUUCGGGGUGUAAACCGCUUUCGCCUGUGACGAAGCGUGAGUGACGGUAAUGGGUAAAGAAGCACCGGCUAACUACGUG
This 468-nucleotide ribosomal RNA is filed under the name uncultured bacterium. RNAcentral describes it as "partial 16S ribosomal RNA". It matches the Rfam family "Bacterial small subunit ribosomal RNA", at positions 28 to 507 of the family's 1533-position model. The record is from RNAcentral.